UACAGAGGUCCCAAGCGUUGUUCGGAUUCACUGGGCGUAAAGGGUGCGUAGGUGGUUGGGUAAGUCUGAUGUGAAAUCUCCGGGCUCAACCCGGAAAUGGCAUUGGAUACUAUCCAGCUGGAGGGUCGGAGGGGGGACUGGAAUUCUUGGUGUAGCAGUGAAAUGCGUAGAUAUCAAGAGGAACACCAGUGGCGAAGGCGAGUCCCUGGACGACACCUGACACUGAGGCACGAAAGCUAGGGGAGCAAACAGG
Molecule: ribosomal RNA, 253 nt
Filed under: uncultured bacterium
Lineage: Bacteria
Description: partial 16S ribosomal RNA
Rfam family: Bacterial small subunit ribosomal RNA
Source: RNAcentral